Molecule: ribosomal RNA, 376 nt
Filed under: uncultured Sphingobacteriales bacterium
Lineage: Bacteria; Pseudomonadati; Bacteroidota; Sphingobacteriia; Sphingobacteriales
Description: bacterial SSU rRNA
Rfam family: Bacterial small subunit ribosomal RNA
Source: RNAcentral
AAAGCUUACAUCUCUUCGGAGCAUUUUACGAGGUGCUGCAUGGUUGUCGUCAGCUCGUGCCGUGAGGUGUCGGGUUAAGUCCCAUAACGAGCGCAACCCCUACCUUUAGUUGCCAUCAGGUUAAGCUGGGGACUCUAAAGGAACUGCCUACGCAAGUAGUGAGGAGGCGGGGAUGACGUCAAAUCAGCACGGCCCUUACGUCCAGGGCUACACACGUGCUACAAUGGCCGAUACAGAGGGCAGCUACCUGGUGACAGGAUGCAAAUCUCCAAAGUCGGUCUCAGUUCGGAUCGGAGUCUGCAACCCGACUCCGUGAAGUUGGAUUCGCUAGUAAUCGCGCAUCAGCCAUGGCGCGGUGAAUACGUUCCCGGGCCUU